Electrophorus electricus (electric eel) is the source of this 469-nucleotide long non-coding RNA. RefSeq lists it as uncharacterized. The record is from RefSeq and is a predicted model, not a curated record. NCBI's taxonomy places the organism in Eukaryota, Metazoa, Chordata, Actinopteri, Gymnotiformes, Gymnotidae.
GGGGGUGGUUUGUGCACCCAUCGUACCACCCCAGAAGCAUUACGGCUGCGAGGCAAACUACUGCAGUACUUUACCACUGGACAAGCAGUGGACCAGUUAAGGCCACACCCAGCAUGAGCCUGCCAGGUAAUGGGGUUUUCAGGGAGGUGCUAACCUGAGAAACAUGGUGGAAGUGUGAAGAGUUUUCUGGAGAGCCUCACCCAAACAGCAGCUUAAAAUGAGAAACUCACAGGAGAUAGAUAAUGUGCACUUGCUCUCUCUCUUUCUCUUGCUCCCCACCCCAUCACAAUGCAUUUGACCUUGAAUAUGGUAAGAGAUGUCUAAAGACCCCCCUCACGUUCCCCUCUCACCUACAAGCUAGCUUCCAUUCCCUCACAUAAAUCUACUGUGUUGUAUUGUCUGAUGCUCAAAAGUGAUGAUAGUAUUGGAUGUGGAAUCUAUUCACAAUAAAGAUAAAGAAAGCUGGUGU